UUUUGUUACACAAAUAUUACAAAAUAUGUUCCAAUUGAACCAACUAGACAAGGACCGUGUUAAUAUUUUUCUUCUCAUUAUUGUGAAACAUGCAAAAAUCAAGCAGUGCUCGAGUAUAUAUACGACGUCUUUAAAUACAGUAUAAAGGAAGUUUACCGAAUUGCCAUAUUAAUUGUUAUUAUAACACACAAGCAUGACGUAGACCAAUUACAAGAGGUAAGUAAAUUUGUUCAAAGUUAUGUGACAAGUGACAUAAGACUAAUUGAUGCUGUUAAACAAAAAUAAAAAAGCGAAUUCAGGAAUACAGUAGAUAUGUCACAAUGUAUGGGACCCUUACGUAAAGCUAAUAAACA
Molecule: non-coding RNA, 353 nt
Organism: Linepithema humile (Argentine ant)
Lineage: Eukaryota; Metazoa; Arthropoda; Insecta; Hymenoptera; Formicidae
Source: RefSeq, a predicted model, not a curated record